UAUUUACAUCUUGUGUUGUGGUAUCUUGAAAAUUGUUGUGAUUAAAUCCUAUUUCCAUGUAUAAUGUUUUAAAAAAGAAAUUUUCUAGCCAUAAUUUUUAUCGUAUUUUUUAGUCAGAAUCAUUCCACUCGGUAUUAAAAUAAAAAAAAAAAUGGCGAGUUUUGAUAAAAUUUUUGAUCAAUGGCUAAUCCUCAUGAAACGAUUGUCGUAUCGAGGAAAAAUGCGAUAGAGAUCGAUAGGUUUUGAGAUAUCGUGAAACUCGAUAAUAUCGAUUUGAAGAACGCAUUCGUUCCUGUCACGUCAUCGUGUCGUUUUGUCGUUUUGUCAAUCGUGAUGAAACCGUAGACAUUCGUGGAUUUUAGACAAAUUCUUCGUGACCGACGAUUCCACGUUAAACGCGUUAAGUUGAUUGUCUUAAUAAAUUUACUUCAAAUAGUUUUCAUGAUCUAUAACUUAAUCUUUGUAAUACGUUUGUACGAAUGAAUGACUGUGCAAUAUUGAAGCAGUGAUAUAUUGAAUAUUCAAAUUUUAAAUAGUGAACCACUGUAUCUCUUGUCAGAUGAAAAAUGUGAGAUGAAAAAUUAUUAAUUAUACCCUCCGUUAUGCUUGAACUGCAGAAGCCGGGACAGUCGGCCACGACGAGCGAGGCUCCGGGGAUUGCCGCCCGCUACGACUCUGCCAACACAACAACAACAAAGGCCGCUUCACGAGUCUAAUUCCUAGGCAUCUAUCUGGUUCGCUAAGGGACAUGUUAUGCUUAAGAGAAAAUGGAAUCCUGCUCGCGCGUAAUCUUCAAUUAUUCUCCUCUCCUCUUUCUUAACGAUCCCAAUUUUUCUAUCUUCUUCCCUCCCCAUUUUUCUUUUUAUUUUGGACAAAUAAUUUUUUUCUCUUCUCUUUUGAAUUGAAAUUUAUCGUAGUACGAUUUUCUUCGAUCUGUGAACGAUGAUACGAACGAAGAGGUUAGGUUAAUCGAAGAGAAACGAAUCGAAAAUAUUAUCGACAUAUUAUCGAGCACGUUAACGCGCGAGAUUUGAAAUAUUUUUGAUUUAUUUGACUAAUAU
Long non-coding RNA from Apis mellifera (honey bee), 1061 nucleotides. RefSeq lists it as uncharacterized. The transcript is spliced from 2 exons. The record is from RefSeq and is a predicted model, not a curated record. NCBI's taxonomy places the organism in Eukaryota, Metazoa, Arthropoda, Insecta, Hymenoptera, Apidae.